Molecule: ribosomal RNA, 2895 nt
Filed under: Clostridioides difficile
Lineage: Bacteria; Bacillati; Bacillota; Clostridia; Peptostreptococcales; Peptostreptococcaceae
Description: bacterial LSU rRNA
Rfam family: Bacterial large subunit ribosomal RNA
Source: RNAcentral
UCAAGUUAUUAAGGGUGCAGGGCGGAUGCCUUGGCACUAGGAGCCGAUGAAGGACGUGAUAAGCUGCGAUAAGCUUCGGGGAGUUGCACGUAAACUUUGAUCCGAAGAUUUCCGAAUGAGGAAACUCACUUAGAGUAAUGUCUAAGUAUCAUUAAGUGAAUACAUAGCUUAAUGAGGGGAACUCAGGGAACUGAAACAUCUAAGUACCUGAAGGAAGAGAAAGAAAUUCGAUUCCGUAAGUAGCGGCGAGCGAACGCGGAUUAGCCCAAACCAAUAAAGUUUUCUUUAUUGGGGUUGAGGACAUACCACAUAUAAGAGGUCAUUAUAGACGAAGAAGUUUGGAAAAACUCAUCAUAGAAGGUAAUAAUCCUGUAGUCAAAAUAAUAAUUCUUUAGGUAUGAUCCAGAGUACCACGGGACACGUGAAACCCUGUGGGAAGCAGGAGGGACCACCCUCCAAGGCUAAAUACUACCUAGUGACCGAUAGCGUAUAGUACCGUGAGGGAAAGGUGAAAAGAACCCCGGGAGGGGAGUGAAAUAGAACCUGAAACCCUGCACUUACAAGCUGUGGAAGCACAUUUCUUGUGUGACCGCGUACUUUUUGUAGAACGGGCCAACGAGUUACGUUAAGUAGCAAGGUUAAGCACUUAAGGUGCGGAGCCGUAGCGAAAGCGAGUUUUAACUGAGCGUUCAGUUACUUGACGUAGACCCGAAACCGGGCGACCUACCCAUGAGCAGGAUGAAGCGAAAGUAAAAUUUCGUGGAGGUCCGAACCCACGAGCGUUGAAAAGCUCGGGGAUGACUUGUGGGUAGCGGUGAAAUUCAAUCGAGCCCGGAGAUAGCUGGUUCUCCCCGAAAUAGCUUUAGGGCUAGCCUCAAGGUGAGAGAUACGGAGGUAGAGCACUGAAUGUCCUAGGGGGUAUUGCACCUACCGAAGACUAUCAAACUCCGAAUGCCGUCAUCUUAUACUUGGGAGUCAGACUGUGGGUGAUAAGAUUCAUAGUCGAAAGGGCAACAGCCCAGAUCGUCAGCUAAGGUCCCUAAAUGUAAGUUAAGUGGUAAAGGAUGUGGGAUUGCACAGACAACCAGGAUGUUGGCUUAGAAGCAGCCACUCAUUCAAAGAGUGCGUAAUAGCUCACUGGUCGAGUGAUCCUGCGCCGAAGAUUUCCGGGGCUAAAACUUACUACCGAAGCUACGGCAUCAGUAAUGAUGGGUAGGGGAGCUUCCCAUACGGGUUGAAGCAUGACCGUAAGGACAUGUGGACAGUAUGGGAGUGAGAAUGUUGGCAUGAGUAGCGAGAUGUGGGUGAGAAUCCCACAGGCCGUAAACCCAAGGUUUCCAGGGGAAGGUUCGUCCGCCUGGGUUAGUCGGGACCUAAGCUGAGGCCGAAAGGCGUAGGUGAUGGACAACAGGUUGAUAUUCCUGUACUACCGAUAACCGUUUGAGAGAAGGGAUGACACAGUAGGAUAAGCUAAGCACACUGUUGGUUAUGUGUGCCCAAGCAUUGAGGCAGUCAAAGUAGGCAAAUCCGCUUUGAUAAUGCUGGGAUGUGAUGGGGAGCGAAAUUUAGUAGCGAAGUAGCUGAUUUCACACUGUCAAGAAAAGUCUCUAUCGAGGUUAAAGGUACCCGUACCGCAAACCGACACAGGUGGGUGAGGAGAGUAUCCUAAGGCCAGCGAGAGAACUGUUGUUAAGGAACUCGGCAAAAUGACCCCGUAACUUUAGGAUAAGGGGUGCCACCAUCAGGUGGCCGCAGAGAAUAGGCCCAAGCGACUGUUUACCAAAAACAUAGGUUUCUGCUAAGUCGCAAGACGAUGUAUAGGAGCUGACGCCUGCCCGGUGCUGGAAGGUUAAGGGGAUCUGUUAGAGCAAUCGAAGCAGUGAACUUAAGCCCCAGUAAACGGCGGCCGUAACUAUAACGGUCCUAAGGUAGCGAAAUUCCUUGUCGGGUAAGUUCCGACCCGCACGAAAGGCGUAACGAUUUGGGCACUGUCUCAACAACAGACUCGGUGAAAUUGUAAUUCCGGUGAAGAUGCCGGAUACCUGCGACAGGACGGAAAGACCCCAUGGAGCUUUACUGUAGCUUGACAUUGGGUCUUGGUACUACAUGUACAGGAUAGGUGGGAGGCUUUGAAACCAGGACGCCAGUUUUGGCGGAGCCAUCCUUGGGAUACCACCCUUGUAGUACUGGGACUCUAACCAUAGGCCAUGAAUCUGGUCUUGGGACACUGUCAGGUGGGCAGUUUGACUGGGGCGGUCGCCUCCCAAAAGGUAACGGAGGCGCUCAAAGGUUCUCUCAGUACGGUCGGAAAUCGUACGUAGAGUGUAAAGGCAAAAGAGAGCUUGAUUGCAAGACAUACAGGUCGAGCAAGGAUGAAAAUCGGACUUAGUGAUCCGGUGUUCUGCGUGGAAGGGCCAUCGCUCAACGGAUAAAAGCUACCCUGGGGAUAACAGGCUUAUCUCCCCCAAGAGUCCACAUCGACGGGGAGGUUUGGCACCUCGAUGUCGGCUCAUCACAUCCUGGGGCUGUAGUAGGUCCCAAGGGUUGGGCUGUUCGCCCAUUAAAGUGGUACGCGAGCUGGGUUCAGAACGUCGUGAGACAGUUCGGUCCCUAUCCGUCGCAGGCGUAGGAAAUUUGAGAAGACCUGUCCUUAGUACGAGAGGACCGGGAUGGACGUACCUCUGGUGUACCAGUUUGUCCUGCCAAGGGCAUGGCUGGGUAGCUAUGUACGGAAUGGAUAAGCGCUGAAAGCAUCUAAGCGCGAAGCCAACUUCAAGAUAAGAUUUCCCACCGCAAGGGUAAGACCCCAGAAAGACUAUCUGGUUGAUAGGUCGAAGGUGUAAGUGCAGCAAUGUAUUUAGCUUAUCGAUACUAAUAGGUCGAGGACUUGACCAA